Molecule: ribosomal RNA, 854 nt
Filed under: uncultured archaeon
Lineage: Archaea
Description: bacterial SSU rRNA
Rfam family: Archaeal small subunit ribosomal RNA
Source: RNAcentral
CCGGUUGAUCCUGCCAGAGGCCACUGCUAUCAGAGUUCGAUUAAGCCAUGCGAGUCGAGAGGUGCAAGACCUCGGCAUACUGCUCAGUAACACGUGGACAAUCUAACCUAAGGUGGGGGAUAACCCCGGGAAACUGGGGAUAAUACCCCAUAGACUAUGGAAGCUGGAAUGCUCUGUAGUUCAAAGGUUCACCGCCUUAGGAUGGGUCUGCGGCCGAUUAGGUUGUUGUUGGGGUAACGGCCCAACAAGCCUGUAAUCGGUACGGAUUGUGGGAGCAAGAGCCCGGAGAUGGAUUCUGAGACACGAAUCCAGGCCCUACGGGGCGCAGCAGGCGCGAAAACUUUACAAUGCGGGAAACCGUGAUAGGGGAACUCUGAGUGCCCGUUAAAUCGGGCUGUCCACCAGUUUAAACAACUGGUGAAGAAAGGGCCGGGCAAGACCGGUGCCAGCCGCCGCGGUAAUACCGGCGGCUCGAGUGGUGGCCACUAUUACUGGGCUUAAAGCGUUCGUAGCUGGUUUGUUAAGUCUCUGGGGAAAUCUACCGGCUUAACCGGAAGGCGUCUCAGGGAUACUGGCAGACUAGGGACCGGGAGAGGUGAGGGGUACUCCAGGGGUAGGAGUGAAAUCCUGUAAUCCUUGGGGGACCACCUGUGGCGAAGGCGCCUCACCAGAACGGCUCCGACAGUGAGGGACGAAAGCUGGGGGAGCAAACCGGAUUAGAUACCCGGGUAGUCCCAGCCGUAAACGAUGUGCGUUAGGUGUAUCGGUGACCACGAGUCACCGAGGUGCCGAAGAGAAAUCGUGAAACGUACCGCCUGGGAAGUACGGUCGCAAGGCUGAAACUUAAAGGAAUU